RNAcentral lists this ribosomal RNA (261 nucleotides) under uncultured archaeon. RNAcentral's name for it is "partial 16S ribosomal RNA". It matches the Rfam family "Archaeal small subunit ribosomal RNA", at positions 748 to 1009 of the family's 1478-position model. The record is from RNAcentral.
CCGCCGUAAACUAUGCGCGUUAGGUGUAUCGGUGACCACGAGUCACCGAGGUGCCGAAGGGAAACCGUGAAACGUGCCGCCUGGGAAGUACGGUCGCAAGGCUGAAACUUAAAGGAAUUGGCGGGGGAGCACCACAACAGGUGGAGCCUGCGGUUUAAUUGGACUCAACGCCGGGAAGCUCACCGGAUAGGACAGCAGAAUGAUUGCCGGGCUGAAGACCCUGCAUGACUAGCUGAGAGGAGGUGCAUGGCGUAGACGUCU